Molecule: long non-coding RNA, 859 nt
Filed under: Gossypium raimondii (Peruvian cotton)
Lineage: Eukaryota; Viridiplantae; Streptophyta; Magnoliopsida; Malvales; Malvaceae
Description: long non-coding RNA (GRAI_LNC001592)
Source: RNAcentral
UAAGUGGAACCAUCCCCCUUUGCCCAAGUUUCCACUUCCCCCAUUCAAAGGCUUCCACCACCAUUAUCCAAUAAUCCCUCCCAUCUACAAGAAACCUCUUCCGCCACCGUCCCCGGUGUACAAGCCCCCUCCAGUUCCCGUAAACCCACCUGUUCCAAUCUAUAAACCUCCACCAGUUCCAGUCUAUAAACCUCCUCCAGUUCCAGUAAAACCACUUCCUCCACCUGUUCCAAUCUACAAACCUCCACCAGUUGAAAAACCACAUCCUCCACCUGUUCCAGUCUAUAAACCUCCACCAGUUCCAGUAUACAAGAAACCAUGUCCUCCACCAGUUCCAGUCUAUAAAUCUCCUCCGGUUCCAGUAUACAAGAAACCGCAUCCUCCUCCAGUUCCAGUCUAUAAGAAACCACAUCCACCUCCAGUUCCAGUAUACAAGAAACCAUGUCCUCCCCCAGUUCCAGUCUAUAAAUCUCCUCCAGUUCCGGAACCACAUCCUCCGCCAGUUCCAGUCCAUAAGCCUCCUCCAGUUCCGGUAUACAAGAAACGAGUCCCUCCUCCGGUUCCAAUCUACAAGCCCCCUCCAGUUCCUGUAUACAACAAACCACUACCUCCCCCGGUUCCAGUGUAUACGAAGCCACUUCCACCACCUGUUCCAACCUACAAACCAAAACCCCUCCCUCCCAUUCCUUACAAGCCACUCCCUCCACUUCCCAAGAUCCCUCCAUUCCCUAAGAAGCCAUGCCCUCCCCUUCCUAAGCUACCCCCUCUUCCCAAGAUUCCUCCCAAGUAUUUCCACCACCACCCUCCCCUUCCUAAGCUACCUCCUCUCCCUAAGAUUCCUCCCAAGUAUUUCCACCAC